GUUUUAGUAACAGUAGGAAUCCCAGAUGGCGUUUUUAUAAACAAUUCUUGAAGCUCUCUACAAUUCUCCGGACGCAUGUUCCAGGAUGAUAAUAUACCAUCAGGUAGUUGUUUUCCCGAUGGAAAACUGUUGAAGAAUACGAUUGGAAUGUCAAGAUCACACAUCCGAGUCUCCAAAAUCUCAAUUCAAUCGACCAAAAUGUAUUGAGGAGACGGAAGAAUGUGAACCAAUCUUCUCUUUCUUCCCCAAAGAAUCGGUUUGAAAACCGAUUAUGACAUGUAAAUUUAAGCAAUAAACCAAUAAAUUUUCU
Centruroides sculpturatus (bark scorpion) is the source of this 310-nucleotide long non-coding RNA. RefSeq lists it as uncharacterized. The transcript has 2 exons. NCBI's taxonomy places the organism in Eukaryota, Metazoa, Arthropoda, Arachnida, Scorpiones, Buthidae. The record is from RefSeq and is a predicted model, not a curated record.